GGUGAACCUGCGGAAGGAUCAUUACCGAGUGCGGGCCCUCUGGGUCCAACCUCCCAUCCGUGUCUAUCUGUACCCUGUUGCUUCGGCGUGGCCACGGCCCGCCGAAGACUAACAUUUGAACACUGUCUGAAGUUUGCAGUCUGAGUUUUUAGUUAAACAAUAAUUAAAACUUUCAACAACGGAUCUCUUGGUUCCGGCAUCGAUGAAGAACGCAGCGAAAUGCGAUAAUUAAUGUGAAUUGCAGAAUUCAGUGAAUCAUCGAGUCUUUGAACGCACAUUGCGCCCCCUGGUAUUCCGGGGGGCAUGCCUGUCCGAGCGUCAUUGCUGCCCUCAAGCACGGCUUGUGUGUUGGGCUUCCGUCCCUGGUAACGGGGACGGGCCCAAAAGGCAGUGGCGGCACCAUGUCUGGUCCUCGAGCGUAUGGGGCUUUGUCACCCGCUCCCGUAGGUCCAGCUGGCAGCUAGCCUCGCAACCAAUCUUUUUAACCAGGUUGACCUCGGAUCAGGUAGGGAUACCCGCUGAACUUAAGCAUAUCAAUAAAACGGAGG
This 548-nucleotide ribosomal RNA is filed under the name Eurotium sp. MZKI A-560. RNAcentral's name for it is "eukaryotic LSU rRNA". The stretch from base 168 to 321 matches the Rfam family "5.8S ribosomal RNA". The record is from RNAcentral. Lineage: Eukaryota; Fungi; Ascomycota; Eurotiomycetes; Eurotiales; Aspergillaceae.